RNAcentral lists this ribosomal RNA (497 nucleotides) under uncultured bacterium. Its description in RNAcentral is "partial 16S ribosomal RNA". It matches the Rfam family "Bacterial small subunit ribosomal RNA", at positions 28 to 507 of the family's 1533-position model. The record is from RNAcentral.
GACGAACGCUGGCGGCGUGCCUAAUACAUGCAAGUUGAGCGAUGAAGAUUGGUGCUUGCACCAAUUUGAAGAGCAGCGAACGGGUGAGUAACGCGUGGGGAAUCUGCCUUUGAGCGGGGGACAACAUUUGGAAACGAAUGCUAAUACCGCAUAACAACUUUAAACAUAAGUUUUAAGUUUGAAAGAUGCAAUUGCAUCACUCAAAGAUGAUCCCGCGUUGUAUUAGCUAGUUGGUGAGGUAAAGGCUCACCAAGGCGAUGAUACAUAGCCGACCUGAGAGGGUGAUCGGCCACAUUGGGACUGAGACACGGCCCAAACUCCUACGGGAGGCAGCAGUAGGGGAUCUUCGGCAAGGGACGAAAGUCUGACCGAGCAACGCCGCGUGAGUGAAGAAGGUUUUCGGAUCGUAAAACUCUGUUGGUAGAGAAGAACGUUGGUGAGAGUGGAAAGCUCAUCAAGUGACGGUAACUACCCAGAAAGGGACGGCUAACUACGUG